UGGGGAAUCUUCCGCAAUGGACGAAAGUCUGACGGAGCAACGCCGCGUGAGUGAAGAAGGUUUUCGGAUCGUAAAGCUCUGUCUUAAGGGAAGAACGGGUCAGGGAGGAAAUGCCUUGGCAAUGACGGUACCUUAAGAGGAAGCCCCGGCUAACUACGUGCCAGCAGCCGCGGUAAUACGUAGGGGGCGAGCGUUGUCCGGAAUUACUGGGCGUAAAGCGCAUGUAGGCGGCCUGUUAAGUCAGGUGUGAAAACUGACGGCUCAACCGUGAGAUUGCACAUGAAACUGGCAGGCUUGAGGGCAGGAGAGGAGAGCGGAAUUCCUAGUGUAGCGGUGAAAUGCGUAGAUAUUAGGAGGAACACCAGUGGCGAAGGCGGCUCUCUGGACUGAACCUGACGCUGAGGUGCGAAAGCUAGGGUAGCGAACGGG
Molecule: ribosomal RNA, 429 nt
Filed under: uncultured bacterium
Lineage: Bacteria
Description: bacterial SSU rRNA
Rfam family: Bacterial small subunit ribosomal RNA
Source: RNAcentral